UACGAAGGGUGCAAACGUUGCUCGGAAUCAUUGGGCGUAAAGCGCGCGUAGGCGGCUUUGCAAGCCGGAUGUGAAAUCCCCGGGCUUAACCUGGGAACUGCAUUCGGGACUGCAUUGCUAGAGUAUGGGAGAGGGAAGUGGAAUUUCAGGUGUAGCGGUGAAAUGCGUAGAUAUCUGAAGGAACAUCAGUGGCGAAAGCGACUUCCUGGACCAAUACUGACGCUCAUGUGCGAAAGCGUGGGGAGCAAACAGG
RNAcentral lists this ribosomal RNA (253 nucleotides) under uncultured bacterium. RNAcentral's name for it is "partial 16S ribosomal RNA". It matches the Rfam family "Bacterial small subunit ribosomal RNA", at positions 524 to 776 of the family's 1533-position model. The record is from RNAcentral.